GAUGAACGCUGGCGGCGUGCCUAAUACAUGCAAGUCGAGCGAACAGACGAGGAGCUUGCUCCUCUGACGUUAGCGGCGGACGGGUGAGUAACACGUGGAUAACCUACCUAUAAGACUGGGAUAACUUCGGGAAACCGGAGCUAAUACCGGAUAAUAUAUUGAACCGCAUGGUUCAAUAGUGAAAGACGGUUUUGCUGUCACUUAUAGAUGGAUCCGCGCCGCAUUAGCUAGUUGGUAAGGUAACGGCUUACCAAGGCAACUAUGCGUAGCCGACCUGAGAGGGUGAUCGGCCACACUGGAACUGAGACACGGUCCAGACUCCUACGGUAGGCAGCAGUAGGGAAUCUUCCGCAAUGGGCGAAAGCCUGACGUAGCAACGUCGCGUGAUUGAUGAAGGUCUUCGGAUCGUAAAACUCUGUUAUUAGGGAAGAACAAAUGUGUAAGUAACUAUGCACGUCUUGACGGUACCUAAUCAGAAAGCCACGGCUAACUACGUG
This 497-nucleotide ribosomal RNA is filed under the name uncultured bacterium. Its description in RNAcentral is "partial 16S ribosomal RNA". It matches the Rfam family "Bacterial small subunit ribosomal RNA", at positions 28 to 507 of the family's 1533-position model. The record is from RNAcentral.